CCUUGAUUAACUUUUAAGAUAUUAAUCUGCAAGAAAAAAAAAAUUUUAAAAAUAUGCUAAUUUGUUAUAAAAUUAUAUUUCAUAGGAGAUUAAAAUGUUCUGAAGUUAGACUUUAGUAAUGGUCAUACAACUGCACUAAAAGCCAUUCAAUUACACACACACACACACACACACA
This is a long non-coding RNA of Perognathus longimembris pacificus (Pacific pocket mouse), 175 nucleotides long. RefSeq lists it as uncharacterized. The transcript has 2 exons. The record is from RefSeq and is a predicted model, not a curated record. Lineage: Eukaryota; Metazoa; Chordata; Mammalia; Rodentia; Heteromyidae.